GCCUGGGUGGUUCAGUUGGUUAAGCGUCUGACUUCGAAUCAGGUCAUGAGCUCAGAGUUCGUGGGUUCGAGCCCCGUGUCGGGCU
This 85-nucleotide transfer RNA is filed under the name Felis catus (domestic cat). It matches the Rfam family "tRNA". From Rfam's summary of the family: Transfer RNA (tRNA) molecules are approximately 80 nucleotides in length. The record is from Rfam by way of RNAcentral. Lineage: Eukaryota; Metazoa; Chordata; Mammalia; Carnivora; Felidae.